Potamilus streckersoni is the source of this 72-nucleotide non-coding RNA. The record is from the annotation of a GenBank genome assembly. Lineage: Eukaryota; Metazoa; Mollusca; Bivalvia; Unionida; Unionidae.
AAUGGCCUAGUGGUUAGAGUGCCAGCUUCAAAUGCAGGAGGUCAUGGUUUCAAACCCCAGCUAUGUUAUAUA